Molecule: ribosomal RNA, 1172 nt
Filed under: Salmonella enterica
Lineage: Bacteria; Pseudomonadati; Pseudomonadota; Gammaproteobacteria; Enterobacterales; Enterobacteriaceae
Also listed under: 1 other name
Description: partial 23S ribosomal RNA
Rfam family: Bacterial large subunit ribosomal RNA
Source: RNAcentral
UGGAGCUGAAGUCAGUCGAAGAUACCAGCUGGCUGCAACUGUUUAUUAAAAACACAGCACUGUGCAAACACGAAAGUGGACGUAUACGGUGUGACGCCUGCCCGGUGCCGGAAGGUUAAUUGAUGGGGUCAGCGCAAGCGAAGCUCCUGAUCGAAGCCCCGGUAAACGGCGGCCGUAACUAUAACGGUCCUAAGGUAGCGAAAUUCCUUGUCGGGUAAGUUCCGACCUGCACGAAUGGCGUAAUGAUGGCCAGGCUGUCUCCACCCGAGACUCAGUGAAAUUGAACUCGCUGUGAAGAUGCAGUGUACCCGCGGCAAGACGGAAAGACCCCGUGAACCUUUACUAUAGCUUGACACUGAACAUUGAGCCUUGAUGUGUAGGAUAGGUGGGAGGCUUUGAAGUGUGGACGCCAGUCUGCAUGGAGCCGACCUUGAAAUACCACCCUUUAAUGUUUGAUGUUCUAACGUGGACCCGUAAUCCGGGUUGCGGACAGUGUCUGGUGGGUAGUUUGACUGGGGCGGUCUCCUCCUAAAGAGUAACGGAGGAGCACGAAGGUUGGCUAAUCCUGGUCGGACAUCAGGAGGUUAGUGCAAUGGCAUAAGCCAGCUUGACUGCGAGCGUGACGGCGCGAGCAGGUGCGAAAGCAGGUCAUAGUGAUCCGGUGGUUCUGAAUGGAAGGGCCAUCGCUCAACGGAUAAAAGGUACUCCGGGGAUAACAGGCUGAUACCGCCCAAGAGUUCAUAUCGACGGCGGUGUUUGGCACCUCGAUGUCGGCUCAUCACAUCCUGGGGCUGAAGUAGGUCCCAAGGGUAUGGCUGUUCGCCAUUUAAAGUGGUACGCGAGCUGGGUUUAGAACGUCGUGAGACAGUUCGGUCCCUAUCUGCCGUGGGCGCUGGAGAACUGAGGGGGGCUGCUCCUAGUACGAGAGGACCGGAGUGGACGCAUCACUGGUGUUCGGGUUGUCAUGCCAAUGGCACUGCCCGGUAGCUAAAUGCGGAAGAGAUAAGUGCUGAAAGCAUCUAAGCACGAAACUUGCCCCGAGAUGAGUUCUCCCUGAGACUUUAGGUCUCCUGAAGGAACGUUGAAGACGACGACGUUGAUAGGCCGGGUGUGUAAGCGCAGCGAUGCGUUGAGCUAACCGGUACUAAUGAACCGUGAGGCUUAACCUUACA